Ricinus communis (castor bean) is the source of this 97-nucleotide non-coding RNA. The record is from Rfam. NCBI's taxonomy places the organism in Eukaryota, Viridiplantae, Streptophyta, Magnoliopsida, Malpighiales, Euphorbiaceae.
AAUUGGCAAGAAUGAUGAAUCAAUUAGAUGUGUGAAUGGAGUUAAUCCAUUGUGAACUUAAACUCUUGAGGCAUUUUAAUUAUCUGACUUGCCCAAG